This 405-nucleotide ribosomal RNA is filed under the name uncultured bacterium. RNAcentral's name for it is "bacterial SSU rRNA". It matches the Rfam family "Bacterial small subunit ribosomal RNA", at positions 356 to 773 of the family's 1533-position model. The record is from RNAcentral.
GGGGAAUAUUGCACAAUGGGCGCAAGCCUGAUGCAGCGACGCCGCGUGAGGGAUGACGGCCUUCGGGUUGUAAACCUCUUUCACCAGGGACGAAGCGUGAGUGACGGUACCUGGAGAAGAAGCACCGGCCAACUACGUGCCAGCAGCCGCGGUAAUACGUAGGGUGCGAGCGUUGUCCGGAAUUACUGGGCGUAAAGAGCUCGUAGGCGGUUUGUCGCGUCGUCUGUGAAAUUCUGCAACUCAAUUGUAGGCGUGCAGGCGAUACGGGCAGGCUUGAGUACUACAGGGGAGACUGGAAUUCCUGGUGUAGCGGUGAAAUGCGCAGAUAUCAGGAGGAACACCGGUGGCGAAGGCGGGUCUCUGGGUAGUAACUGACGCUGAGGAGCGAAAGCGUGGGGAGCGAAC